Molecule: long non-coding RNA, 1230 nt
Organism: Oncorhynchus gorbuscha (pink salmon)
Lineage: Eukaryota; Metazoa; Chordata; Actinopteri; Salmoniformes; Salmonidae
Exons: 2
Source: RefSeq, a predicted model, not a curated record
UAGACGCGCCUUCCGUUAUUUUCAGGGUUGUAUCGACACAAUGAUGGACCUUAGAUGCAUAGGCGGGUGUGUGCCGUUAUUUCUUCUGGCUAUUGGUUUUGAUGUUAUUGGUUUCAUUAUCCUGUUCAUUGGAAUUUUUGCCAAUUUGCGUAUCGAUGGCAGGUUUUAUGGCGAUUUCUUGAUUUACAGUGGUUCAAUUAUAAUUUUCAUAAGUUUGGCUUGGUGGAUUAUGUGGUACGUGGGAAAUAUACAGGUCUCAGAAGACAGCUUUGGAACAAGCUUAAUGAAAAGGAAACUGAGUUUUGUACAGUUGGCCAGAAAGUUGUCAGAGAGGCUUUCCAAAAAAUGCAAACCUGAACAUGUAGCCACAAAGUAUGCCGAGGAAAACAAGGUUAAAGCUGUGACGCCUUCACCUGUUCACGUCGCCUCUCGAAUAACCUGGGGGAAAUCUUUCGGUUAUCAGAAUGGCGGCUAUGACUCCAGCUUGGACUCCUUUUCGAUGGAGAAGGAAAAACAGACACCAGAUAUACAGAACUUGGAUGUGCAGACCCACGCUAGGGGUAAUGUUGAAAGGCUGUUCUGAUUGUUCUCCGUAACACUUUCUGAUCCCAAGACUACCUUCAACACUGUACGCUUCACGGAAUGGGACUACAGACAAUUCAGGACAUUAAUCAGCACUGGUCUAGACAUCAGUUCUUGACAACAAAGACCAUUUGAUCCUUAUGGGGUGAAAUGACCUAUAGUCCUAGGGAAAUAGACCUACUGUAGAUAUUGCUCUGAAUGCAUAUUAUAUUGUUUUUUUUUUUAUUUAUAUAUCAAUUAUUAAUAUAAUCGCCAUGUGAUAUGUGAACUUUUUAUGUUCAAGGAUCAAUAUUAUGUGGAAAGGCUAUAUUUUGUCAUAUAAACAUAUCGACAUGUUAAGCUCCAUCAUAGCCAUUUUCUAGAAUAGUUUCCGUCUCUAGUCUUAGACGGAAAUCCUAGAGGCCCCUGUCUGAACGGCAGGUAUUUGAACACAGACUCUCUUCAAGCCAGACCCAGAAAUGCAAUCACCUGCAUUUACAAUUGUUGACACUACAUAAAAACAGUAGUCAGGCAGGUUUGCCUGUGCCACAACAAUUGCAUUGUCAAAGCAGGCCGUAAACAAAACGUUGUGUGGCUUGGGGCACUGAGCUUGGUUUCACCUGCAUGUUGGCAUUAAAUGGGCAUUUGGGCUAUACUCUUUUAACUGUU